Molecule: ribosomal RNA, 301 nt
Filed under: uncultured bacterium
Lineage: Bacteria
Description: partial 16S ribosomal RNA
Rfam family: Bacterial small subunit ribosomal RNA
Source: RNAcentral
CAGCCGCCGCGGGAAUACGUAGGUGGCAAGCGUUGUCCGGAAUUAUUGGGCGUAAAGGGCUCGCAGGCGGUUUCUUAAGUCUGAUGUGAAAGCCCCCGGCUCAACCGGGGAGGGUCAUUGGAAACUGGGAAACUUGAGUGCAGAAGAGGAGAGUGGAAUUCCACGUGUAGCGGUGAAAUGCGUAGAGAUGUGGAGGAACACCAGUGGCGAAGGCGACUCUCUGGUCUGUAACUGACGCUGAGGAGCGAAAGCGUGGGGAGCUAACAGGAUUAGAUACCCGAGUAGUCCCUGUCUCUUAUAC